Long non-coding RNA from Megalobrama amblycephala (Wuchang bream), 1155 nucleotides. RefSeq lists it as uncharacterized. Lineage: Eukaryota; Metazoa; Chordata; Actinopteri; Cypriniformes; Xenocyprididae. The transcript is spliced from 6 exons. The record is from RefSeq and is a predicted model, not a curated record.
GGAGCAGGCGAUCGCUUAAUGAAACUGUGUCGUCUCACUUCCUGGGGGAAAUUGGGGUGGCUGAAAGUCUUCCUGUUCGUGAUCUCUACAUACCCAAACAUAAUGUUUUCUAGGUGGCAGAAGCAAUGCUUUAGACUGCAGAUGUUAUGUACAGAGCGGAAUGGAGACAGAGACACAUGCAGGAGAAAGAGCUGAUGAAGGACAGAGUAACAGGGAGAAGAGAAGAGCUCAAGAUGAACAGAAGAGUGGAUGGACUGAUGUGCUGAAGAGAGAUGUGCAGGGCAGGCUCGAUCAGACAGACAGGAGAGAGUUACCUGAGGUUUUGUGUAAAGGUUGUGCAGAAUAAAAACCUGAAGACAAGCAUCAAAGAAGAGCCUAACGCUGAGGGACAGACGAGCACAACGAUGGAAGUUGGACUUUGCAUCUUUAUCACAGUGUUCUGAGAUGCUUCAAUUUUCCCAGGAUUCUGUUGAAGUGAAUCCCUGUCAGCUUCUUCCAUUACGUGUCAGAUGCAGUCGGAUUCAGUGGUUCCUGACCGCUCUUCCUCAGGUCUGAGCGUGAAGCCGGUGUCCGUCUGUGCUGUCAGCUGUGGAUCGCUGCUCCUCUCUCCUGCGGCUCUGAGCCACAACGCGCUGCAUCAGGAAUAUCAGGAAUGCUGGCGGUGAUCUGCACACACACACACAAGGGAGCUGACGAGAGGACUUAGGAUGACUAGAAGAUAUCUUGGAUCGCUGGAUGAUGACUAUGAAUGAGGUUCCUUAUGGUAGGAUAUUCUCCAGGUAGUCUGUGUUCUCUACACAAGGCCAGACAAAAACUGGUGGUGUGUGUGUGUGAUAAGAACAAAUAUCUGCCAUUAGGGGUCAAAAAGUAAUCUUUUUUCCCCUUUAAAUUAGAUUAUUUGUCUGACCCCAUUGGCAGAUUUUUACACCUUUUUCAGAAAGCAAGACUUAAUAUCAUAAUUCAUUUUGCUUCUCAAGUAAAUGUAUCUUGAUUUAAGAAUGUUAAAUAGAUAUGUUAUGUUUAGAUAUUUGUACUGAAAAACAAGACAAAAAUAUUGAGAAAGAAAGUCAUUUAUCAUAACCCUAACCCUAACAAUGAAAUGAAAUCAACACCGAACUGACUCAAGCUGAACAAUGACACUGUUUCCUUCUAGAG